Molecule: transfer RNA, 81 nt
Filed under: Paenibacillus spiritus
Lineage: Bacteria; Bacillati; Bacillota; Bacilli; Caryophanales; Paenibacillaceae
Rfam family: tRNA
About the family: Transfer RNA (tRNA) molecules are approximately 80 nucleotides in length. Their secondary structure includes four short double-helical elements and three loops (D, anti-codon, and T loops).
Source: Rfam by way of RNAcentral
GCGGGUGUGAUGGAAUGGCAGACAUAGCGGAUUUAAAAUCCGCUGCCGCAAGGCGUAUCGGUUCGAGUCCGAUCAUCCGUA